UACGUAGGAGGCAAGCGUUGUCCGGAAUUACUGGGUGUAAAGCGCACGCAGGCGGGGGGGCGCGUGGGGUGUGAAAUCUGGCCGCUUAACGGCCAGGCGCCAUCCCAUACGGCACGCCUGGAGCCUUGCAGAGGUCGGUGGAAUUGCCGGUGUAGUGGUGAAAUGCGUAGAGAUCGGCAGGAACACCCAGGGGGAAACCAGCCGACUGUGCAAGUGCUGACGCUGAGGUGCGAGAGCGUGGGGAGCGAACCGG
RNAcentral lists this ribosomal RNA (253 nucleotides) under uncultured bacterium. RNAcentral's name for it is "partial 16S ribosomal RNA". It matches the Rfam family "Bacterial small subunit ribosomal RNA", at positions 524 to 776 of the family's 1533-position model. The record is from RNAcentral.